CCUACGGGCGGCAGCAGUAGGGAAUUUUCCACAAUGGGCGAAAGCCUGAUGGAGCAACGCCGCGUGGGUGAAGAAGGUCUUCGGAUCGUAAAACCCUGUUGUUAGAGAAGAAAGUGCGUGAGAGUAACUGUUCACGUUUCGACGGUAUCUACCCAGAAAGCCACGGCUAACUACGUGCCAGCAGCCGCGGUAAUACGUAGGUGGCAAGCGUUAUCCGGAUUUAUUGGGCGUAAAGGGAACGCAGGCGGUCUUUUAAGUCUGAUGUGAAAGCCGUCGGCUUAACCGGAGUAGUGCAUUGGAAACUGGGAGACUGGAGUGCAGAAGAGGAGAGUGGAACUCCAGGUGUAGCGGUGAAAUGCGUAGAUAUAUGGAAGAACACCAGUGGCGAAAGCGGCUCUCUGGUCUGUAACUGACGCUGAGGUUCGAAAGCGUGGGUAGCAAACAGGAUUAGAUACCCUAGUAGUC
This 465-nucleotide ribosomal RNA is filed under the name uncultured bacterium. Its description in RNAcentral is "partial 16S ribosomal RNA". It matches the Rfam family "Bacterial small subunit ribosomal RNA", at positions 338 to 795 of the family's 1533-position model. The record is from RNAcentral.